Molecule: long non-coding RNA, 376 nt
Organism: Carassius gibelio (silver crucian carp)
Lineage: Eukaryota; Metazoa; Chordata; Actinopteri; Cypriniformes; Cyprinidae
Exons: 3
Source: RefSeq, a predicted model, not a curated record
ACUGUGUUUGUCUCUCCUGCUGCGCCAGGUGUCUCAACUCAGUCCUUUAAAGAUCAAAUGAAGGCUCUGUCUGCGAGUGAACAGAAUGCAAUGGUGCCCUCUCUUCCUCUGUCAAACCCAUCUUAUACUUAGAAAGGCCAGGAAAUAAACCACAGCCAGGAUGUCCAAUCGCUCCAGGAACCAGGUCUGUCCGCAUACAUCAGUAUCCCGCAGCUAGCAGCUGAUGAAGGAAGUGGAGCAGCAGCUCAGGGAUAGUGCCAGAGAUAGAGACCUUCUCAAGAUCCAGCCCUCAGGUCAGACUCUAAUUAUCACCACUGAAACAUGCAAUCUGGACUCGUCAGACCUGCAAAGUCAUUAGUGUAGCAACAGAUGACUU